AACGAACGCUGGCGGCAUGCCUAACACAUGCAAGUCGAACGAGACCUUCGGGUCUAGUGGCGCACGGGUGCGUAACGCGUGGGAACCUGCCCUUAGGUUCGGAAUAACUCCCCGAAAGGGGUGCUAAUACCGGAUAAUGUCUUCGGACCAAAGAUUUAUCGCCUUUGGAUGGGCCCGCGUUGGAUUAGCUAGUUGGUAGGGUAAAAGCCUACCAAGGCGACGAUCCAUAGCUGGUCUGAGAGGAUGAUCAUCCACACUGGGACUGAGACACGGCCCAGACUCCUACGGGAGGCAGCAGUGGGGAAUAUUGGACAAUGGGCGAAAGCCUGAUCCAGCAACGCCGCGUGAGUGAUGAAGGCCUUAGGGUUGUAAAGCUCUUUUACCCGGGAUGAUAAUGACAGUACCGGGAGAAUAAGCUCCGGCUAACUCCGUG
This 433-nucleotide ribosomal RNA is filed under the name uncultured bacterium. RNAcentral describes it as "partial 16S ribosomal RNA". It matches the Rfam family "Bacterial small subunit ribosomal RNA", at positions 29 to 507 of the family's 1533-position model. The record is from RNAcentral.